UGAGUAACACGUGGAUAACCUACCUAUAAGACUGGGAUAACUUCGGGAAACCGGAGCUAAUACCGGAUAAUAUUUUGAACCGCAUGGUUCAAAAGUGAAAGACGGUCUUGCUGUCACUUAUAGAUGGAUCCGCGCUGCAUUAGCUAGUUUGUAAGGUAACGGCUUACCAAGGCAACGAUGCAUAGCCGACCUGAGAGGGUGAUCGGCCACACUGGAACUGAGACACGGUCCAG
Molecule: ribosomal RNA, 233 nt
Filed under: uncultured Staphylococcus sp.
Lineage: Bacteria; Bacillati; Bacillota; Bacilli; Caryophanales; Staphylococcaceae
Description: partial 16S ribosomal RNA
Rfam family: Bacterial small subunit ribosomal RNA
Source: RNAcentral